Molecule: long non-coding RNA, 1847 nt
Filed under: Betta splendens (Siamese fighting fish)
Lineage: Eukaryota; Metazoa; Chordata; Actinopteri; Anabantiformes; Osphronemidae
Description: lncRNA (ENSBSLG00000021552.1)
Source: RNAcentral
GUAAGUAAUAGUAGUAAUUAGUAAUUUUAUGACUGACUGUACGUCAGUCCCAGCACAAGCAUCUAGCACAUGUCACAUGGUGGAUACAGACAGACUGAUGAUCGAUGAAUGUGUACAGGACUGCAUACAGCAGACGGGUUAACCCAGGACAGGUCCCCUGCCCAUCACAGAGACGCUUACAAACACCUACGGACGGUUUAGACGCUCCAGUCAACCUGACUGCAUGUUGGACUGUGGGAAGAAACUGGAGGAAGCCCACACAGACACGGUGCCCAUUGGGUAGAAGUAUUUAUGUCUGUGUCAGCAAGAGACAGCGUCAGGUCGGAGGCAGCAGCUUACAAUAAAAUGACUGAGUGGUUUAACGGGACCGUGUCCAAGGACAGACUGUGGUCGGGGGCGGAGAAGUGGCUGGUGGUGGCAGUGCUGGGACUGGAGAUGGUUAUAGGAGUUGCAGGAAACAGUUUGGUUCUGCUGGUCAAAGCCAAGUGCAGGGGUUGUUUCCGCUGUCAGUACUGGCUUCCUUUCAUCAGUCUCACCAUGUCAGACUUAGGCUGCACCCUCCUAAUCAUCUCCAGCUCCCUGGUUGCCAUAGUGACAGGGGGUCAGAUGUCACCGUGGUGCGAGGUCGUCAGUCUGCUGAAAUUCGCCUUCAUCACUUCGUCCAUCGGGAGCAUAGCUGUUCUCUGCCUGCAGCGCUUCAUUGGAAGGGCCUCCACAGAAAGGCCCUGUUUUGUUGCCAUGGUGAUAGCUUGCUCAGCUUCCUGGGUGAUGGGGCUGGUGUUUGGGAGCGUCCCUGUCAUCUACAGCUGGAUCAGGUACGACCCGGCAGAGAUGCUGUGUGCGGUGUUCUGGGAGAGCAGCUACUCAGACAUGCUGGUCUACAUCCUCUGUGCCUUCUCCAUCUGCAUCUUCCUGCCCUUCCUCCUCAUCGUCUUCUGCUCUGUGCUCAGAUCCAGCAGUUUAAACGACAGUGAGGACAGCGAUGAUGAAGCCGACCUGUCUGCUGUCACUCCAUUGCUGGUGGCCUCCUACCUGGUCUGCUACUCUCCCUUUGCUGUGGCUGAGCUGAUUCUACUGGGCAGGCUGGACCUGUCUCAGGCGCCCAGCUGGUUAAGGACGCUGUCAUCGGUGAUGUCGUACCUGGACUGUGCUGUGAACCCUCUGAUCUACUGCUCACACAAGGCCUUCAGGGAGGCGGGGCUGGCCCUGCUGUGGACCAGCAGCGAAGCGCCAUCGGAGCCGGUGCUCACUGCUGUGACUCCACGGGACGUGAACCUGAGGCACAGAACCGACAGUAACGCCACACCAUGACUUCUGUUUGCUGUAAAAUGUUUUCCACCUAAAAUCUUCCCGUAAAGUGUCACAACAAAACAUUUCUUUUCAUUUCAUGUUAACACUUCACUUUUAGGUGGAAUGAUUAUGAGUUAAUUAGCUUGAAGCUAGUCAACUAAACAGUACAGUAUGCAGUGUAAAAGUCCAGGUUAGUUAAAACAUCGUGAAGGCAGCAUCAUAGAAGUGAUCACAGUCUGUGGAGCCCUGGUGGAGAAGACAUCACGUCACCAACACAGAGUCAGGUCUGAUGGUGCCUCCAGUGUAAGAAGGGCAUCUUUAUGACUAGAACAGUUAAAGUCCUACCAACUAGGUUCUAUUGUUGAACGGGUAAUAACCAUGAUAAUAAUCAAGAGGUAAAAAUAGGUGUAAAAGUUCAUACAAAUGAUAAGUACAACAAAGAAAGUGUGACUGAUUUCAUAAUUUGUGUUUAAUAUAUUAAUAACGUUUGUGAUUCAUGAACACUCAACGUAAGUUCGAAAUCCUGAAUAAACAGCGUCUUAAUAGAGUGCGCUCCA